UAGGGAAUCUUGCGCAAUGGGCGAAAGCCUGACGCAGCAACGCCGCGUGGAGGAAGAAGGCUCUCGGGUUGUAAACUCCUUUCAGCAGGGACGAAAUUGACGGUACCUGCAGAAGAAGCGCCGGCCAACUACGUGCCAGCAGCCGCGGUAACACGUAGGGCGCAAGCGUUGUCCGGAUUUAUUGGGCGUAAAGAGCUCGUAGGCGGUUUGGUAAGUCGGGUGUGAAAACUCUGGGCUCAACUCAGAGACGCCACCCGAUACUGCCAUGACUAGAGUCCGGUAGAGGAGCAUGGAAUUCAUGGUGUAGCGGUGGAAUGCGCAGAUAUCAUGAGGAACACCAGUAGCGAAGGCGGUGCUCUGGGCCGGUACUGACGCUGAGGAGCGAAAGCAUGGGGAGCAAACAGGAUUAGAUACCCCCGUAGUCC
RNAcentral lists this ribosomal RNA (425 nucleotides) under uncultured prokaryote. Its description in RNAcentral is "bacterial SSU rRNA". It matches the Rfam family "Bacterial small subunit ribosomal RNA", at positions 355 to 796 of the family's 1533-position model. The record is from RNAcentral.